This 323-nucleotide ribosomal RNA is filed under the name uncultured Anoxybacillus sp. Its description in RNAcentral is "bacterial SSU rRNA". It matches the Rfam family "Bacterial small subunit ribosomal RNA", at positions 1060 to 1382 of the family's 1533-position model. The record is from RNAcentral. Lineage: Bacteria; Bacillati; Bacillota; Bacilli; Caryophanales; Anoxybacillaceae.
UCGUGUCGUGAGAUGUUCGGGUUAAGUCCCGCAACGAGCGCAACCCUCGACCUUAGUUGCCAGCAUUCAGUUGGGCACUCUAAGGGUGACUGCCGGCUAAAAGUCGGAGGAAGGUGGGGAUGACGUCAAAUCAUCAUGCCCCUUAUGACCUGGGCUACACACGUGCUACAAUGGGCGGUACAAAGGGUCGCGAACCCGCGAGGGGGAGCCAAUCCCAAAAAGCCGCUCUCAGUUCGGAUUGCAGGCUGCAACUCGCCUGCAUGAAGCCGGAAUCGCUAGUAAUCGCGGAUCAGCAUGCCGCGGUGAAUACGUUCCCGGGCCUU